AUGAACGCUGGCGGCGUGCCUAAUACAUGCAAGUCGAGCGCACGGACGAGAAGCUUGCUUCUCUGAUGUUAGCGGCGGACGGGUGAGUAACACGUGGAUAACCUACCUAUAAGACUGGGAUAACUUCGGGAAACCGGAGCUAAUACCGGAUAAUAUUUUGAACCGCAUGGUUCAAAAGUGAAAGACGGUCUUGCUGUCACUUAUAGAUGGAUCCGCGCUGCAUUAGCUAGUUGGUAAGGUAACGGCUUACCAAGGCAACGAUGCAUAGCCGACCUGAGAGGGUGAUCGGCCACACUGGAACUGAGACACGGUCCAGACUCCUACGGGAGGCAGCAGUAGGGAAUCUUCCGCAAUGGGCGAAGGCCUGACGGAGCAACGCCGCGUGAGUGAUGAAGGUCUUCGGAUCGUAAAACUCUGUUAUUAGGGAAGAACAUAUGUGUAAGUAACUGUGCACAUCUUGACGGUACCUAAUCAGAAAGCCACGGCUAACUACGUG
Molecule: ribosomal RNA, 496 nt
Filed under: uncultured bacterium
Lineage: Bacteria
Description: partial 16S ribosomal RNA
Rfam family: Bacterial small subunit ribosomal RNA
Source: RNAcentral